This 446-nucleotide ribosomal RNA is filed under the name Arctic sea ice bacterium AWS-6M3. RNAcentral describes it as "bacterial SSU rRNA". It matches the Rfam family "Bacterial small subunit ribosomal RNA", at positions 396 to 834 of the family's 1533-position model. Lineage: Bacteria; Pseudomonadati; Pseudomonadota; Gammaproteobacteria. The record is from RNAcentral.
GCCGCGUGUGUGAAGAAGGCCUUCGGGUUGUAAAGCACUUUCAGCGAGGAGGAAAGGUUAUUAUUUAAUAACUGCUANCUGUGACGUUACUCGCAGAAGAAGCACCGGCUAACUUCGUGCCAGCAGCCGCGGUAAUACGAGGGGUGCAAGCGUUAAUCGGAAUUACUGGGCGUAAAGCGUGCGUAGGUGGUUUGUUAAGCAAGAUGUGAAAGCCCUGGGCUCAACCUGGGAACUGCAUUUUGAACUGGCAAGCUAGAGUUUUGUAGAGGGUAGUGGAAUUUCCAGUGUAGCGGUGAAAUGCGUAGAGAUUGGAAGGAACAUCAGUGGCGAAGGCGGCUACCUGGACAAAGACUGACACUGAGGCACGAAAGCGUGGGGAGCAAACAGGAUUAGAUACCCUGGUAGUCCACGCCGUAAACGAUGUCAACUAGCCGUCUGUAGACUUG